RNAcentral lists this ribosomal RNA (559 nucleotides) under uncultured Bacteroidota bacterium. RNAcentral's name for it is "SSU rRNA". It matches the Rfam family "Bacterial small subunit ribosomal RNA", at positions 242 to 798 of the family's 1533-position model. The record is from RNAcentral. Lineage: Bacteria; Pseudomonadati; Bacteroidota.
CAGCUAGUUGGUAAGGUAACGGCUUACCAAGGCUACGAUGGGUAGGGGUCCUGAGAGGGAGAUCCCCCACACUGGUACUGAGACACGGACCAGACUCCUACGGGAGGCAGCAGUGAGGAAUAUUGGACAAUGGGCGCAAGCCUGAUCCAGCCAUGCCGCGUGCAGGAUGACGGUCCUAUGGAUUGUAAACUGCUUUUGCACAGGAAGAAACAACUCUACGUGUAGAGUCUUGACGGUACUGUGAGAAUAAGGAUCGGCUAACUCCGUGCCAGCAGCCGCGGUAAUACGGAGGAUCCAAGCGUUAUCCGGAAUCAUUGGGUUUAAAGGGUCCGUAGGCGGUUUAGUAAGUCAGUGGUGAAAGCCCAUCGCUCAACGGUGGAACGGCCAUUGAUACUGCUAGACUUGAAUUAUUAGGAAGUAACUAGAAUAUGUAGUGUAGCGGUGAAAUGCUUAGAGAUUACAUGGAAUACCAAUUGCGAAGGCAGGUUACUACUAAUGGAUUGACGCUGAUGGACGAAAGCGUGGGUAGCGAACAGGAUUAGAUACCCUGGUAGUCCAC